Cicer arietinum (chickpea) is the source of this 413-nucleotide long non-coding RNA. RefSeq lists it as uncharacterized. Lineage: Eukaryota; Viridiplantae; Streptophyta; Magnoliopsida; Fabales; Fabaceae. The record is from RefSeq and is a predicted model, not a curated record.
UUCUUUUAUCGAGAUGGAAAUUGAUUUAUUGUUUUUCUACAGUGGGAAGCCCUUGCUCUCUUGCUCAUUGGUAUAAUUGUUAGUCAAUUACGAUCGAUACCCAAGGGAAGUACAACUUUGGGUGUUCCUGUCACAAUGAGUGCAUAUCUCUAUAUGUUUAUUUUUGUUACUAUUCCGUCAAUGGCCUCUAUUUAUAAUGAGUAUGCUUUGAAGAGCCAAUAUGAUACAAGUUUAUAUCUGCAGAACUUAUUCUUGUAUGGUAUGGAGCUAUGUUCAAUUUUCUUGGCAUACUCGUGAAUAUUAUUGUCAAAGUCCUAGCAGCUUUGAUAUCCUAGAAGACCAUUCAGAAGCCACUAUGUUAUUGAUUGCAAACAAUGCUGCCUAAAGGAUAUUAUCUUCUUUCUUCUUCAAAU